ACACGUAGGGGGCGAGCGUUGUUCGGAAUUACUGGGCGUAAAGGGCAUGUAGGCGGCUUGGUAAGCCUGGCGUGAAAGUCUGCAGCUUAACUGUAGGGAUGCGUUGGGAACUGCUUAGCUUGAGUUACGGAGAGGGAGCUGGAAUUCCUGGUGUAGGGGUGAAAUCUGUAGAUAUCAGGAAGAACACCGAUGGCGAAGGCAAGCUUCUGGCCGACAACUGACGCUGAGGUGCGAAAGUGUGGGGAUCAAACAGGAUUAGAUACCCUGGUAGUCCACACAGUAAACGAUGUGCACGAGGUGCUGGGGCGGUAGUUUCAGUGCCGGAGCGAACGCGGUAAGUGCACCGCCUGGGGAGUAUGCUCGCAAGGGUGAA
This 373-nucleotide ribosomal RNA is filed under the name uncultured bacterium. Its description in RNAcentral is "bacterial SSU rRNA". It matches the Rfam family "Bacterial small subunit ribosomal RNA", at positions 523 to 898 of the family's 1533-position model. The record is from RNAcentral.